GAUGAACGCUGGCGGCGUGCUUAACACAUGCAAGUCGAACGAGAAGUGAAGACGGAACCCUUCGGGCGGAAGGCUUUAUUUCGAGUGGCGGACGGGUGAGUAACGCGUGGGUAACCUGCCUCAUACAGGGGGAUAACAGUUGGAAACGACUGUUAAUACCGCAUAAGACCACAGCACCGCAUGGUGCGGGGGUAAAAACUCCGGUGGUAUGAGAUGGACCCGCGUUCGAUUAGCCAGUUGGCGGGGUAACGGCCCACCAAAGCGACGAUCGAUAGCCGAUCUGAGAGGAUGACCGGCCACAUUGGGACUGAGACACGGCCCAAACUCCUGCGGGAAGCAGCAGUGGGGAAUAUUGCACAAUGGGGGAAACCCUGAUGCAGCGACGCCGCGUGAGUGAAGAAGUAUUUCGGUAUGUAAAGCUCUAUCAGCAGGGAAGAAAAUGACGGUACCUGAGUAAGAAGCCCCGGCUAACUACGUG
RNAcentral lists this ribosomal RNA (478 nucleotides) under uncultured bacterium. RNAcentral's name for it is "partial 16S ribosomal RNA". It matches the Rfam family "Bacterial small subunit ribosomal RNA", at positions 28 to 507 of the family's 1533-position model. The record is from RNAcentral.